Molecule: transfer RNA, 74 nt
Filed under: Hydnora abyssinica
Lineage: Eukaryota; Viridiplantae; Streptophyta; Magnoliopsida; Piperales; Hydnoraceae
Description: tRNA-Glu
Rfam family: tRNA
About the family: Transfer RNA (tRNA) molecules are approximately 80 nucleotides in length. Their secondary structure includes four short double-helical elements and three loops (D, anti-codon, and T loops).
Source: RNAcentral
GCCCCUAUCGUCUAGUGGUUAAGGACAUCUCUUUUUCAAGGAGAUAACAGGGAUUCGAAUUCCCUUAGGGGUCC